UGGCCAGGCCCCAGCAGACCUGAGUAUGACUGGGGAGGGGUUUAAACCCCUACCCUGGCCUGCAGAGGUGCUGCAGCCUACACAGGUCUGGAACUUUGCCUCAAGAUACAAGUAAUGAUGCAAAAGCCACUGCAGCUGAAGGAAGACUGAGACUGAUUUCAGUAGAGAUUAUUUUCCAUUUUGAUGGACUGCUGCAGAUCACAUUCAAAGACCAUCAAGUGCAUUUAAAUAAAGUUAUGGACAUGCCAAAACUGAAAGAAACUUGCAAGAAACUGAGAAGUAAGGCUGGCCAAAGAACUCAGACCAUUGUGGACAAGUAAGCCCUAAUGGCAUGAAUUAAUGAUGCUCCAGACUAAUGGCUGUCUUGGAGCUUCUCUGCUUAUCACAAUCUCACAAUUAUUUCAACAUAUUUUAGUGUGAUUUUCUUUUUCUAUAAAUGUUUAUAAAGGGAGUUUUAAAAGCAUAUUUCUUCUUGCCCAGGGGAGCCAUUCCAAUCUCUCAG
Long non-coding RNA from Alligator sinensis (Chinese alligator), 502 nucleotides. RefSeq lists it as uncharacterized. The record is from RefSeq and is a predicted model, not a curated record. The transcript is spliced from 3 exons. Lineage: Eukaryota; Metazoa; Chordata; Crocodylia; Alligatoridae.